This 333-nucleotide ribosomal RNA is filed under the name uncultured bacterium. RNAcentral describes it as "bacterial SSU rRNA". It matches the Rfam family "Bacterial small subunit ribosomal RNA", at positions 917 to 1250 of the family's 1533-position model. The record is from RNAcentral.
GGGCCCGCACAAGCGGUGGAACAUGUGGUUUAAUUCGACGCAACGCGAAGAACCUUACCUGGGUUUGACAUCCCCGGCCGACACCAGAGAUGGUGUUUUCUCUUCGGAGACCGGGUGACAGGUGCUGCAUGGCUGUCGUCAGCUCGUGUCGUGAGAUGUUCGGUUAAGUCCGGCAACGAGCGCAACCCACAUCCCUAGUUGCCAGCAGUUCGGCUGGGCACUCUAUGGAAACUGCCCGUGAUAAGCGGGAGGAAGGUGUGGAUGACGUCAAGUCCUCAUGGCCCUUACGGGUUGGGCUACACACGUGCUACAAUGGUGGUGACAAUGGGUUAA